RNAcentral lists this ribosomal RNA (468 nucleotides) under uncultured bacterium. Its description in RNAcentral is "partial 16S ribosomal RNA". It matches the Rfam family "Bacterial small subunit ribosomal RNA", at positions 28 to 507 of the family's 1533-position model. The record is from RNAcentral.
GACGGACGCUGGCGGCGUGCUUAACACAUGCAAGUCUAACGGAAAGGCCCUGCUUUUGUGGGGUGCUCGAGUGGCGAACGGGUGAGUAACACGUGAGUAACCUGCCCUUGACUUUGGGAUAACUUCAGGAAACUGGGGCUAAUACCGGAUAGGAGCUCCUGCUGCAUGGUGGGGGUUGGAAAGUUUCGGCGGUUGGGGAUGGACUCGCGGCUUAUCAGCUUGUUGGUGGGGUAGUGGCUUACCAAGGCUUUGACGGGUAGCCGGCCUGAGAGGGUGACCGGGCACACUGGGACAGAGAUACGGCCCAGACACCUAUGGGAGGCAGCAGUGGGGAAUAUUGCACAAUGGGCGGAAGCCUGAUGCAGCAACGCCGCGUGCGGGAUGACGGGCUUUGGGGUGUAAACCGCUUUCGCCUGAGACGAAGCGAGAGUGACGGUAAUGGGUAAAGAAGCACCGGCUAACUACGUG